CGCCGCAUCCUCAAACUCCGUUCCUCCGCGUAGCCGCCACCCGCCGGAAUCCUCCGUACCCAAGCCCUCGUCGCUGAUUUGGUGGCCGCCGGUGAUGGAGCUGGCUCUGCUCACCGUUUACUCUGGCGGUGAUCAUGGUUCUAUUCAGAGGACUUUGAUCCAACGGUCAUCCCCUAUACUGUGUAAUUUCUUGUACAGCUCGUUGAAAUAAUUGGCCGCUUUAUCUUAUCUCUGCUGUUCCUUGAGCCGAGGGUCAAUCUGAAGUAAGCGUUCAUCGGACUUGUUAUUGGAACAAAUUCAGGAGGGGAUGCUCGUACUACUUUGUGCAUUGACAGGGAGAGGGAAGCUCUUCUCAAGUUCAAGCAAGGUCUGAUAGACAACUACGGUAUCCUCUCGUCACCGGUUGAAUUCCGAACCGAGGAAAUUAUGACUCUGUUAACAGUCCGCGAACCAGAACUCCGAGUAAGGAAUUCUGUUAACCCGGGA
This is a long non-coding RNA of Nicotiana attenuata, 486 nucleotides long. RefSeq lists it as uncharacterized. Lineage: Eukaryota; Viridiplantae; Streptophyta; Magnoliopsida; Solanales; Solanaceae. The transcript is spliced from 3 exons. The record is from RefSeq and is a predicted model, not a curated record.